RNAcentral lists this ribosomal RNA (492 nucleotides) under uncultured bacterium. RNAcentral describes it as "partial 16S ribosomal RNA". It matches the Rfam family "Bacterial small subunit ribosomal RNA", at positions 29 to 507 of the family's 1533-position model. The record is from RNAcentral.
AGUGAACGCUGGCGGUAGGCCUAACACAUGCAAGUCGAACGGCAGCACAGUAAGAGCUUGCUCUUACGGGUGGCGAGUGGCGGACGGGUGAGGAAUACAUCGGAAUCUACUUUUUCGUGGGGGAUAACGUAGGGGAACUUACGCUAAUACCGCAUACGACCUACGGGUGAAAGCAAGGGAUCUUCGGACCUUGCGCGAUUGAAUGAGCCGAUGUCGGAUUAGCUAGUUGGCGGGGUAAAGGCCCACCAAGGCGACGAUCCGUAGCUGGUCUGAGAGGAUGAUCAGCCACACUGGAACUGAGACACGGUCCAGACUCCUACGGGAGGCAGCAGUGGGGAAUAUUGGACAAUGGGCGCAAGCCUGAUCCAGCCAUACCGCGUGGGUGAAGAAGGCCUUCGGGUUGUAAAGCCCUUUUGUUGGGAAAGAAAAGCAGCAGGUUAAUACCCCGCUGUUCUGACGGUACCCAAAGAAUAAGCACCGGCUAACUUCGUG